AUUGAACGCUGGCGGCAUGCCUUACACAUGCAAGCCGAACGGCAGCGGGGGAGAAGCUUGCUUUUCCUGCCGGCGAGUGGCGAACGGGUGAGUAAUACAUCGGAAUGUGCCCUGUAGUGGGGGAUAACUAGUCGAAAGAUUAGCUAAUACCGCAUACGACCUGAGGGUGAAAGUGGGGGACCGCAAGGCCUCAUGCUAUAGGAGCGGCCGAUGUCUGAUUAGCUAGUUGGUGGGGUAAAGGCCUACCAAGGCGACGAUCAGUAGCUGGUCUGAGAGGACGAUCAGCCAGACUGGGACUGAGAAACGGCCCAGACUCCUACGGGAGGCAGCAGUGGGGAAUUUUGGACAAUGGGCGAAAGCCUGAUCCAGCAAUGCCGCGUGUGUGAAGAAGGCCUUCGGGUUGUAAAGCACUUUUGUCCGGAAAGAAAUGGCUCUGGUUAAUACCUGGGGUCGAUGACGGUACCGGAAGAAUAGGGACCGGCUAACUACGUGCCAGCCGCCGCGGUAA
This 508-nucleotide ribosomal RNA is filed under the name uncultured bacterium. RNAcentral describes it as "partial 16S ribosomal RNA". It matches the Rfam family "Bacterial small subunit ribosomal RNA", at positions 30 to 523 of the family's 1533-position model. The record is from RNAcentral.